AGGUUAAGACUAUUUUUCAGGAAUCAUUUCUAUAGUUUUUAACUUGGCAAAUGUGUUUCUAAAGUGUUUGGUUUCUCCAACCAUGAUGAAGAGUUCUGAUACUUCUUCCUGAGCAUGAAAUGGACAGAAAGUAAUGAUAUUUAUCUUCUGUCAUUGAUGAUUGUUCAUUGCUUUCGAAUGGGGGUGAUGAAAGAAGGAGUAUGGUCUGAGUGGU
Thalassophryne amazonica is the source of this 214-nucleotide small nucleolar RNA. RefSeq annotates it as small nucleolar RNA U3. The record is from RefSeq and is a predicted model, not a curated record. Lineage: Eukaryota; Metazoa; Chordata; Actinopteri; Batrachoidiformes; Batrachoididae. The transcript has a single exon.